This 594-nucleotide ribosomal RNA is filed under the name uncultured Bacteroidota bacterium. Its description in RNAcentral is "bacterial SSU rRNA". It matches the Rfam family "Bacterial small subunit ribosomal RNA", at positions 122 to 715 of the family's 1533-position model. The record is from RNAcentral. Lineage: Bacteria; Pseudomonadati; Bacteroidota.
CAACCUGCCCUUUACUCGGGGAUAGCCUUUCGAAAGAAAGAUUAAUACCCGAUGGCAUAAUGAUUCCGCAUGGUUUCAUUAUUAAAGGAUUCCGGUAAAGGAUGGGGAUGCGUUCCAUUAGGUUGUUGGUGAGGUAACGGCCCACCAAGCCUUCGAUGGAUAGGGGUUCUGAGAGGAAGGUCCCCCACAUUGGAACUGAGACACGGUCCAAACUCCUACGGGAGGCAGCAGUGAGGAAUAUUGGUCAAUGGGCGCUAGCCUGAACCAGCCAAGUAGCGUGAAGGAUGAAGGCUCUAUGGGUCGUAAACUUCUUUUAUAUAAGAAUAAAGUGCAGUAUGUAUACUGUUUUGUAUGUAUUAUAUGAAUAAGGAUCGGCUAACUCCGUGCCAGCAGCCGCGGUAAUACGGAGGAUCCGAGCGUUAUCCGGAUUUAUUGGGUUUAAAGGGAGCGUAGGUGGACUGGUAAGUCAGUUGUGAAAGUUUGCGGCUCAACCGUAAAAUUGCAGUUGAUACUGUCAGUCUUGAGUACAGUAGAGGUGGGCGGAAUUCGUGGUGUAGCGGUGAAAUGCUUAGAUAUCACGAAGAACUCCGAUUG